AUUGAACGCUGGCGGCAGGCCUAACACAUGCAAGUCGAGCGGUAGCACAGAGAGCUUGCUCUCGGGUGACGAGCGGCGGACGGGUGAGUAAUGUCUGGGAAACUGCCUGAUGGAGGGGGAUAACUACUGGAAACGGUAGCUAAUACCGCAUAACGUCGCAAGACCAAAGUGGGGGACCUUCGGGCCUCAUGCCAUCAGAUGUGCCCAGAUGGGAUUAGCUAGUAGGUGGGGUAAUGGCUCACCUAGGCGACGAUCCCUAGCUGGUCUGAGAGGAUGACCAGCCACACUGGAACUGGGACACGGUCCAGACUCCUACGGGAGGCAGCAGUGGGGAAUAUUGCACAAUGGGCGCAAGCCUGAUGCAGCCAUGCCGCGUGUGUGAAGAAGGCCUUCGGGUUGUAAAGCACUUUCAGCGGGGAGGAAGGCGGUGAGGUUAAUAACCUCAUCGAUUGACGUUACCCGCAGAAGAAGCACCGGCUAACUCCGUGCCAGCAGCCGCGGUAAUACGGAGGGUGCAAGCGUUAAUCGGAAUUACUGGGCGUAAAGCGCACGCAGGCGGUCUGUCAAGUCGGAUGUGAAAUCCCCGGGCUCAACCUGGGAACUGCAUUCGAAACUGGCAGGCUAGAGUCUUGUAGAGGGGGGUAGAAUUCCAGGUGUAGCGGUGAAAUGCGUAGAGAUCUGGAGGAAUACCGGUGGCGAAGGCGGCCCCCUGGACAAAGACUGACGCUCAGGUGCGAAAGCGUGGGGAGCAAACAGGAUUAGAUACCCUGGUAGUCCACGCCGUAAACGAUGUCGAUUUGGAGGUUGUGCCCUUGAGGCGUGGCUUCCGGAGCUAACGCGUUAAAUCGACCGCCUGGGGAGUACGGCCGCAAGGUUAAAACUCAAAUGAAUUGACGGGGGCCCGCACAAGCGGUGGAGCAUGUGGUUUAAUUCGAUGCAACGCGAAGAACCUUACCUGGUCUUGACAUCCACAGAACUUUCCAGAGAUGGAUUGGUGCCUUCGGGAACUGUGAGACAGGUGCUGCAUGGCUGUCGUCAGCUCGUGUUGUGAAAUGUUGGGUUAAGUCCCGCAACGAGCGCAACCCUUAUCCUUUGUUGCCAGCGGUCCGGCCGGGAACUCAAAGGAGACUGCCAGUGAUAAACUGGAGGAAGGUGGGGAUGACGUCAAGUCAUCAUGGCCCUUACGACCAGGGCUACACACGUGCUACAAUGGCAUAUACAAAGAGAAGCGACCUCGCGAGAGCAAGCGGACCUCAUAAAGUAUGUCGUAGUCCGGAUUGGAGUCUGCAACUCGACUCCAUGAAGUCGGAAUCGCUAGUAAUCGUAGAUCAGAAUGCUACGGUGAAUACGUUCCCGGGCCU
This 1361-nucleotide ribosomal RNA is filed under the name uncultured bacterium. Its description in RNAcentral is "bacterial SSU rRNA". It matches the Rfam family "Bacterial small subunit ribosomal RNA", at positions 28 to 1381 of the family's 1533-position model. The record is from RNAcentral.